Molecule: ribosomal RNA, 209 nt
Filed under: uncultured bacterium
Lineage: Bacteria
Description: partial 16S ribosomal RNA
Rfam family: Bacterial small subunit ribosomal RNA
Source: RNAcentral
UUCAGACUGCAGGCUGCAACUCGCCUGCACGAAGUCGGAAUUGCUAGUAAUCGUAGGUCAGCAUACUACGGUGAAUACGUUCCCGGGCCUUGUACACACCGCCCGUCAAACCAUGAGAGUUGGCAACACCCGAAGUCGGUAGUCUAACCGCAAGGAGGACGCCGCCGAAGGUGGGGUUGAUGAUUAGGGUUAAGUCGUAACAAGGUACC